GAUGAACGCUGGCGGCGUGCCUAAUACAUGCAAGUCGAGCGAACAGACGAGGAGCUUGCUCCUCUGACGUUAGCGGCGGACGGGUGAGUAACACGUGGAUAACCUACCUAUAAGACUGGGAUAACUUCGGGAAACCGGAGCUAAUACCGGAUAAUAUAUUGAACCGCAUGGUUCAAUAGUGAAAGCCGGUUUUGCUGUCACUUAUAGAUGGAUCCGCGCCGCAUUAGCUAGUUGGUAAGGGAACGGCUUACCAAGGCAACGAUGCGUAGCCGACCUGAGAGGGUGAUCGGCCACACUGGAACUGAGACACGGUCCAGACUCCUACGGGAGGCAGCAGUAGGGAAUCUUCCGCAAUGGGCGAAAGCCUGACGGAGCAACGCCGCGUGAGUGAUGAAGGUCUUCGGAUCGUAAAACUCUGUUAUUAGGGAAGAACAAAUGUGUAAGUAACUAUGCACGUCUUGACGGUACCUAAUCAGAAAGCCACGGCUAACUACGUG
Molecule: ribosomal RNA, 497 nt
Filed under: uncultured bacterium
Lineage: Bacteria
Description: partial 16S ribosomal RNA
Rfam family: Bacterial small subunit ribosomal RNA
Source: RNAcentral